GCUGCAUUUGUUUGCACGUGGAUAUUUUUUGCAUAAGUACAAAGUAUUGAACAAACCAAAGCACUUUAUCAUACCUAUGCUGUGCAAGUUUGAUCACUGCUGCCAUAGAUGACAAACCUCUACCGGAUAAAGGACAAGAAAUGACAUAACUUGCACAGUACCACAUAGCAUAGGCCAUGGUUUUUGCUGGACCAAAGAAAAACAAAUCCAACCCAGGAACUGCUUAGCCAGUCACUUGUAUAGUAGCGACAAAGAACUGAUUUGAGACCAGGAAUCAGCUUGAAUCUAGG
This 290-nucleotide long non-coding RNA is filed under the name Cairina moschata (Muscovy duck). RNAcentral describes it as "domestica (muscovy Duck (domestic type)) lncRNA (ENSCMMG00000000521.1)". Lineage: Eukaryota; Metazoa; Chordata; Aves; Anseriformes; Anatidae. The record is from RNAcentral.